Molecule: transfer RNA, 80 nt
Organism: Ipomoea nil (Japanese morning glory)
Lineage: Eukaryota; Viridiplantae; Streptophyta; Magnoliopsida; Solanales; Convolvulaceae
Rfam family: tRNA
About the family: Transfer RNA (tRNA) molecules are approximately 80 nucleotides in length. Their secondary structure includes four short double-helical elements and three loops (D, anti-codon, and T loops).
Source: Rfam
GAUGGUUUGGCUGAGUGGUCUAAGGCGCCAGAUUUAGGCUCUGGUCCGAAAGGGCGUGGGUUCAAUUCCCACAGUCGACA